ACGUUUUGAAAACAUAUUUUGAAACCGCGGUGCGAGGCACGAACGCCUGAUUUUAACGCUAAAAUUCCUCGCUUUAAUGAGCUAUUUUAAGAGUCGUUAGAUGACCACGUCACUCAAUCUGGGCUAAAUCUGUAACAAGCCGUGUAUAGAAACAGCAGUGGUGAUAUUUUAGGCAGUGUAACAGCAUCGUUAUUUCAAAUUGUUCGUGCUCUGAAAGUACUGCUUCCUGCCUUCGUAUCGGCUCUGUGCAGGACAGCGUCUUGAUGUCUCCCCGGCCGCGUCACUCCCCGGUCUGCGGUUCCCGAGGGUCUUUCCUCCUUCGGCGGUGAGGAAAACGAGCAUGCAGCAUGUAGGCCUACAUUUAUGUACAGGCACACACAACAAGUACAGCAGCAUGUCGGGGGUUCUCAAUCAACUUUCCGAACAUGUGCUCGCUUGUUUAUGAGCAUGCAAGAAUGAGAGCAAAGUGAUGAACCUACAAGACAAGAUGAGAAACUUCUUGGACCUCACGACUCUCUGCUAUUGCCAUACUUUUGAGGACACAGGAGGAAAUUCUCUGGUUCAAGGAAGGCAUGGUGCUGGCUGAGCUGGGACUCGAUCAUCGUGUGGAGAAAGAGAUGUCUUGCGUUUCUCAUUACAGAUCCACAGAUUCUGUAGUGGAGAAGUCCAAAGAGAGCACUCACUCCUAGGCAUGCCUGCAUCAUUCAGAGUCCUGAAUCUAUACAAUACAUGUACAAGAGCUCUCUGAUCUCUAAUGCACUGUCCUCAUGGAUACUCCAGCAAACCCUUGUUAUGCACAUAUCUUUGUUUUAUCUGAACAUCAUGAUUUUGAAGAGCAGUGCAUCCCCCGUCACUCCUUGCAUCGCUUCAAGAAUGAGAAUCACAAAUAUUCAAGGGAUGCAGAGAACAUUGGCAAUGGCAGCAGGGCAGAGCAUCAAGCGUCACUCCUCACAUCUUUUCCAGAAUGAGGGUCACAAGUAUUCAAGGUCUGCAGCGAACAUCAGCAAUGGAAGCAGGGCAGAGCAUCCAUCGUCACUCAAGCAUUGUUUCCAGAAUGAAGAUCACAAGAGGUUUGGCUGUCUUGAUUUUGUCAAGGCCAUGACUGAUGGUUGCCAAGUUGGUUCGAUGAGUCUGUGACUGCAUUUAAAAACCUUUUGUAGAAACCUUUGCUUUGUUUUGUAUGGUGUGACUGCUCGAUUUGUUUAGAUUUGGUGGUAUGAUUUCAUGUUUUCUGAUCUUUCUAGGUACAAAUGGUAUGUUUUAAUACAUCGUAGGAGCACUUGUCAUAAAAUCAAGAAGAGCAAAAAUAUUCUUGUGAGAUAUUGGAUACACCCAGGAGUGCUAACAGUAUUGCCCCCAUUCCUCACUCCUUCCAAAAUUACCCCCAACCUCCCUAAAAAAGAGAAAAGAAAAAUGGGGGAAAAUAUGAUAAUGAUAUUAAUGAAAUUUAACUGUAAUUUCUACAAAAAUGUAGUUAUAUCAAAAAGAUGAAUAGUUUCACCAUCUGUGGAUUAUACCUACCUGUUACAAGUCCUGAAAAGGUUUAAUUUAUUGUGAUUCUGGUUUGUGUGUUGAACGUCUUGGUAUGAUUCCAGUUUGUUUGUGUAUGACCAUGUGAUAUGAUCUGAUUACGUGUGUGUGUAUGUGUGUUGUGUUUUUACAGACGUGUGUCAAUCAGAUAUGAUUAUUUACGUCUGGGAACCGACCUUUAAACGUCACCAUCCGAAAGACAUAAUAAUUACUAAAUAAUUACCAGCUAGCCUUACUCAAAGCCUAAACCUAUUAAAAUAGAUCUAAAUGGACAAGCAAAUUUCUGCUGUUUUUUUAAACCUAGUUGCAAAAAAAAUAGAUGUUCUGCAGACAUAUUAGGAUGUUUCCUAAACAUACAAUUUGAUAUUGCAAAAUAUUUAGCUCUUGAUAUAUUCCAAUGAUAGGUCUUUGGUAAGUGAGCACUCUAGAUUAUGCUGCUUGCAUUUUAGAAAGAAAAGAAAGGUCUCUAAUAGAGUCUAGAUACUAUUUCUAAUGUAGGUCUAAAAGUACAAAAUUACAGAAUUCUGAUCAACCCGCUCAUAUAACAUGGUGGUGGGGGGGGGGGGUGGGAGAUGAUAACAUCACAGGAUUAGCGAUAAGUAAACAGUCGAUCACAGGCCCUGGCCGGUGUCUGUUAUCUGCCAUACCCUUGAGAUCCCGGACGUGACUGGCGCAAAUGUCAAACGUAUCGUACCGGCCAGGGCCGUACUAGUACUAGUUUCUGGAUCUUCUUUUUUGCUUUAGAGUUCUGAAAAAGAAAAAGAGAUAGGUUCUUUAUAGAUUAAUGUGAAGGAAAAUAGCACAGCAUUCAGGUUCUCCUUAAUGAGGGUCCCCUGACAUUGAAAUAUAAAUCAUCAUCCUUAAUUUUUUCAAGGUGGUUAUUCUUUAAUACGGAUGUUAUGCAUUUUCUUCAUAAGAAUUUGAUGUUUGACAGUGUUGAAUGCUUUUCUUAGGUCGAUAAAUACAGUACCUGUGUAUUAGGAAUCGUCCAUGACCUGAGGCCAAUCAUCUGUGACCUUUAUAAGGGUAGAUGUUGUUGAAUGCUUAGGUCUGAAUCCAGACUGCUCUCUAUAUAAAUAUCAUUUUUAUGCAAACUACUCUAUAAACUGGUGUUGCACAACUCAUUCUAACAUCUUUGACACACAGGGAAAUAUCAGAGUUUGCCUGUAAUUACCAAAGAAAGAACAUUCAUUGGCCAAACAGGGCCAAUAAUGAAUUUGGUAUAUUUCACAAUAAUCAUGUCACCUUUAAGUUGAGGUAUCAUAUCGUGUUCAUCUGUAUCCAAGUCAGAUCCAAUUGCAGUAACUGAACCAAAAGAAAGAUAGGAAAAGUGAUAACGUAAACCAAAAAAAAAAUCGUAUUAUAGAUGGUGUCUUAUUCUGAAGGGGUCGUUUUGAACCACUUGUCUCCCAUCACGACUUACAUCUCCGCCUGUCAAAUUUCGCAUCACCACGUCUCCUUUCUGGAGCAUCUUUGUUAAUAUGGAGAGACAGUGUUCUCUUUGUCUCCAUUGGCGUUGUGUCAGUUUCCUGCAGUACAGCCAUGGCAUCUUUGCCAUAGCCAUCCCACCUGUUUUUGACCACUUUGGACCACUUCACUCCCAUCACGGCUUACGUCUCUGCCUAUCAAACUUAGCAUCACCAUUUCUCUGAAUUGCUGAAUUCCAAUCAACCUGCUCAUAUAACAUUGUGGGGGGGGGGGGGGAGGGAGGAGAUGACAAAUCACCAUUCCUAAUUAUUUCAAGGUCGUUAUUACGUGGUUAUGUCGGUAAAUCACCCUCAGCCACCUUGCAUUUCUUUGCUGCACCAAGUUAUUUUAUUUUCUACCAACUAGAUAUGCUCAAUUUUUAUCAAACUAACCUUUAUGCUCCUUGUGUUGCGGUUAAAGCCAGAGUUCUCCAGAUUGUUUCAAGUAGUUUUAAGGAGAUGAGGCACAUCACUGAAGAGGUAGAUAGGUUUCCCAGUGAAUGGAUUGGUGAAGGUAUGUCGCUCAGGACUGGAUGUAGUCAGCAGCUUGAAUAAGCCCCUGUUUGAUGCCGCUCCAUCACAGACGAGUCCUCAAACAGAAAACCCACAGGUUUCCAGAUGUUCGGUUCCCUCCAUAAUUACGUGGUACUACUGGUCUGUUGUGGCUCCUCCAGUUGCAAAAUACGCCACUGCUCUGCAAAACGACGUACAGAUUCCCCUUGCCAUCAAAACAAGUGUAUGUGAUGCCAUCUGCGGGUCUUCGCCUUCACAUUUCCUGGCAAAUGCUGCCAUCGCAUCGUUUACUGAGCUCAGACUGGUAAAGCCAAUAAUGUGUCCCGUUUGGUGUGAAUAAACUAGUCCUUGAAAUAACUUCAUUUCGUUGAAUGCUAGCAUAAUGUUACGUUCAAUCUCUCCAAGUCCUUUCAAUUUGAUAUCUUGGCAAACGCGUGCCAAGAACUCUUUGUUAAACCCUGUCUCACUCGCAGUAAAAAUCCAGAUGUUCUUAAUAAUUCGUAGGCUGCAGGCGUCUUGGCAGAAAGAGCUUUAUACAACCUGAUUAUGGCCAGAUGCCACCUCCUUUCUUCGCGAGUACACGAACCAUCGCUUCCUGGUCAGGUCAAUGUAUAUGGUACAGCAUCUAGAACUAAAGAAAAAUAUUAAAAUAUUUUUGUUCAUGAACAUGUUCCAAAGUAUUAACAUCAAUGCCCCAUCUGUUCAAAUAGUUGUUUGUCCACCAUUUCUUUCGAAAUACAUUCAUGGAAGAAGCGUCUGCUUCUCUCGACUAGCUCAUUCCAUCUGUCCUCGUCGAAAUUUACUUUGAUGGUCACAUGGCCCUGGUGGGUAUACACAAAGAAUUGGCACCAUCUUGUGCCUCUCACGUCCAUCUGGUGAUUUACCUUGCUAUAGUAUGGGUGAGAUUUUUUCAGUUCCAAGUCACCAGUUCCGUCUCUAGAAGGCAGGAAUUCUGGUUGUCCUUGGACGGUUCUGAGUCGGCGAUGCUGUGUGGGCACUUGAUUUCCAGAACCCCGGUGUCGCAACAAGAGUAUUUGAUAAUGCCAUCUGGGCUUGCUCCAAGAAAAAAUUUGUCACCUACCACAAAGAGUCCACAAUCCUUAACUUCAAAGUGUUGAUGAAGACAAAAACAUGAUGCUAUAAAAUACAAUGUUUCAAAGGUUAAACGUUCAACACUUCUGCAGCAUGGUUUGCUUCACCACGCUUCACUUUCACGCUCUGUGGCAGCACAGUGAAAUCGACAUCUGUCUCGGUUUCCUCUCCCUCACAAAUCCUGUGCCAUUUCGACCGGUGGCAAGUCUUGGAGUGGCUCGGGAUCAGUCGAUGGCAAGGCUUGGAGUGGCCUGGGUUCGACCGGUGGCAAGGCUCGGGAGUGGCUCGGGAUCAGCCGGUGGCAAGUCUUGGAGUGGCUCGAACAUUUGAUUUUAAGACCACUGGUGUCCCAACAAGAGCAUUUGAUGAUGCCAUCUGGGCUUGCCCCAAGAAAAACUUUGUCACCUACCACAAAGAGUCCACAAUCCUUAACCGCAAAGUGUUGAUGACCUAUUUUGUGUUCCCGCACGUAGGCACUCCUUGCUUCCUCCUCCAUCUCACGAUCGUACUUCAAGGCUUGCAAUGAAGAGUCUACAUCUUCGUACCCCAAGAUCCUCGUCAAAAGUGAGGCAGUGUUCACUUCUCCCCCCUUUUUUUCUUUUGACCGCUGCUUUGUCAUAACAGCAUGGGCCACUGACCCAGUCACCCUCCCCCUGCAAUGCUUCAUCCACUCCUCAUUAUUGGCUUGACCACGAGUUGCCUCCUCCAGGUGACGUGCUUCUUCACCGGAGCAUCUUGGCAGGGUGGCAAUAACUCUUGUAGAGAGCCAGCAUUACUAGCCAAUCAAGGCAGGGGCAGAGGGGCACUCUUUGCUACCGCGCCCUCUUCGUGGUCAACAUUCACAUCUGUGUAAAUAUCAGCAUGACUCUGUUGAACUGUUGUGGAUGACUGCAUGUUGAAGCACUGGAACAUAGCUUCAUCUUCAAAGUGCGGGAAGAGUGUUUGUGUAAGUGUAGUCACUGAUGUUGGGUUACUGGUUGACCUGGCACCAAGUAGAGAAAGUAACUGUUGGGUUGAUGCCUGCUUUUCAAUCAAGUAGAGAAAGAAUUAGUUGCAUAAAUUGGCCCAUACUGAGACCCCAAUUCGUACAUCCGGAUUCUUUUCCUUGCUCAAUGAACGACUACUUGUCCCAAAGUCAAGCUUCCAAUAUAUUCAAAUAUAUAUUUAUAUACCUGUGUUUUUUCUUUCUAAUAUACAUCUACACGAGCAGAAGUAAAUAAUUCCUUACCUUCACACCAUAUCAGCAUACGAGUAGGCCAACAUUUUGGGGCACCAAUAGAGAUGUAUGUGGGACAG
This is a long non-coding RNA of Strongylocentrotus purpuratus (purple sea urchin), 5897 nucleotides long. RefSeq lists it as uncharacterized. The transcript has 4 exons. The record is from RefSeq and is a predicted model, not a curated record. NCBI's taxonomy places the organism in Eukaryota, Metazoa, Echinodermata, Echinoidea, Camarodonta, Strongylocentrotidae.